GUAGGUGAACCUGCGGAGGGAUCAUUACAAAUCCAUCCACGUCUCAUCAUUUGAUCGAGACCACGUUGAAAUGUUCCCUAGUGUUGCUAUUCAUCGUCGUCUGACGAUGGCAAAGCAACACUAGGUUGUAAACUAGUUUAUCCUCUGUUGAUCAAAUGUACCUUUCUUGAUACGGUGUGGUAACACACACGAUCAAGGCAAACAAAAAGUACAACUUAUAACAAUGGAUCUCUAGGCUCUU
Molecule: unclassified non-coding RNA, 241 nt
Filed under: rhizosphere metagenome
Description: partial ribosomal RNA internal transcribed spacer region
Source: RNAcentral